RNAcentral lists this long non-coding RNA (1049 nucleotides) under Marmota monax (woodchuck). The record is from RNAcentral. Lineage: Eukaryota; Metazoa; Chordata; Mammalia; Rodentia; Sciuridae.
GUGGCAGGGUCCGCUGGGAGGAAGAGGCUCGCGCCUGGUCAUCCUAGAGCCAUGCACGAGGCUCCGUGGCUGGGUGGCGUCCAGUCCCUGGUUUUAUGGAGACCCUGAACUGCUCCGGCCACCUGGGGACCGGCAUGAGGGGCUCUGAAGCAGGGGUGUCCUUACAGGGCCAGCCCAACAUGGAGACCUGCUCCAAACCCAGGUGCAAGGCGGCGAAGGCGGCGGCGGCGGCCGGGUCCUGCAAGGAUGCAGCGUGAGGUCCUCCCGGGCACAGGCCCCGAGUGAGACGGGCCGGUCAGGGGAGAGCGCGAGGCGGGCAGCUGGCCUGCAGCAGGCCCAUGAACUGGGCCUGGGCGGGGCUGAGGAGUGAGCUGCGAGCUCUGACCUGGGCUGAGGUGUGGGCGCUGUGACAGGCCGUGACAGACGCUCCAGGCAGCAGAUCCUGUAGGAGGAGGUCCCCAAGCUUGUCCCCCGACUUGAUCCCCUGUCCCGGGUUCAGAGUGAAGCCCAGGACCCCAGGUGAUCAGCACUGCCACUGCCCAAGGCAACGUUUCCGGGUCUCUCUCUGGUGUGGAUCAGGUGUCCUUUGUCACUUGGAGGGAGCUGCCUGAGCGGUGACCUUCAGGGUGACCUGGCUGAGCUCACCAGGGGCAAGAGUCUUCUCCUUGUUCUCUCUGCCUUUGAACUUCAGCCUGGUCUUCCUGCUGACCCUUGGUGGGGACCUUGACUUCCCAAAGUAAGCUGUCCCAGAGGACCGCCCACAGCUGGGAGCAGGCUUUCUUCAAUUUUAAGAGUUACUGAUGGACCUCUAUUCAUUCAUUUGUGAGGCGCUAACCCUGACCCUGACCCAGGGCCGCCCACACCCCGCCCUGGAGAGCAGUGCUUAUCUGGAGAGAAUGGAUUGGGCUGUAGGGAAAGGGCGGUGUGCACAGGUUGGCUUACACAGAUCAUUGGUGAAAGAGAAAUGGGUGCCCUCCUGUUCCCACCCAGAUGUUGCUGGGUGCAGUCGGCUCUGGAGCACAGGAGGUCAGGUGAUGCGGGACUCCUCU